This 460-nucleotide ribosomal RNA is filed under the name uncultured bacterium. Its description in RNAcentral is "partial 16S ribosomal RNA". It matches the Rfam family "Bacterial small subunit ribosomal RNA", at positions 338 to 795 of the family's 1533-position model. The record is from RNAcentral.
CCUACGGGUGGCAGCAGUGAGGAAUAUUGGUCAAUGGACGAGAGUCUGAACCAGCCAAGUAGCGUGAAGGAUGACUGCCCUAUGGGUUGUAAACUUCUUUUAUAUGGGAAUAAAACGUUCCACGUGUGGCUUUUUGUAUGUACUUUAUGAAUAAGGAUCGGCUAACUCCGUGCCAGCAGCCGCGGUAAUACGGAGGAUCCGAGCGUUAUCCGGAUUUAUUGGGUUUAAAGGGAGCGUAGAUGGGUUGUUAAGUCAGUUGUGAAAGUUUGCGGCUCAACCGUAAAAUUGCAAUUGAUACUGGCAGUCUUGAGUACAGUUGAGGUAGGCGGAAUUCGUGGUGUAGCGGUGAAAUGCUUAGAUAUCACGAAGAACUCCGAUUGCGAAGGCAGCUUACUAAACUGCGACUGACAUUGAUGCUCGAAAGUGUGGGUAUCAAACAGGAUUAGAUACCCGGGUAGUC